RNAcentral lists this small RNA (310 nucleotides) under Microcebus murinus (gray mouse lemur). RNAcentral describes it as "Metazoan signal recognition particle RNA (ENSMICG00000029122.2)". The stretch from base 1 to 152 matches the Rfam family "Metazoan signal recognition particle RNA". The record is from RNAcentral. Lineage: Eukaryota; Metazoa; Chordata; Mammalia; Primates; Cheirogaleidae.
GCCGGGCAUGGUGGUGCAUGCCUGUAGUCCCAGCUACUUGGGAGGCUGAGGCAGGAGGAUCGCUUGAGCCCAGGAGUUUGCGGUUGCUGUGAGCUAGGCUGACGCCACGGCACUCACUGUAGCCUGGGCAACACAGUGAGACUCUGUCUCAAAAAAUAAAUUAGCCGGGUGUGGUGGCAUCUGCUUGCAGUUGUAGCUACUGGGAAGGCUAAGAUAGGAAGAUCCCUUAAGCCCAGGAGUUGGAGGCUGCAGUGAGCUAGGGUCAUGCCACUGCACUCUAGCCUGAGCAACAGAACAAGAUCUUGUCUCU